RNAcentral lists this ribosomal RNA (406 nucleotides) under uncultured bacterium. RNAcentral's name for it is "partial 16S ribosomal RNA". It matches the Rfam family "Bacterial small subunit ribosomal RNA", at positions 29 to 526 of the family's 1533-position model. The record is from RNAcentral.
AUUGAACGCUGGCGGCAGGCCUAACACAUGCAAGUCGAACGAGUGGCGGACGGGUGAGUAAUGUCUGGGAAACUGCCUGAUGGAGGGGGAUAACUACUGGAAACGGUAGCUAAUACCGCAUACCAUCGGAUGUGCCCAGAUGGGAUGAGCUAGUAGGUGGGGUAAAGGCUCACCUAGGCGACGAUCCCUAGCUGGUAUGAGAGGAUGACCAGCGAAACUGGAAGUGAGCCACGGUCCCGACUCCUACGGGAGGCAGCGGGGGGGAAUAUUGCAGAAUGGGCGCAAGCCGUAUGCAGCCAUGCCGCGUGUAUGAAGAAGGCCUUUGGGUUGUAAAGUACUUUCAGCGGGGAGGCGUUACCCGCAGAAGAAGCACCGGCUAACUCCGUGCCAGCAGCCGCGGUAAUAC